UUAAGCUGAAGUAGCAAGCUGAUGGGUGCUAGCGAAAGUUGUAUCCCUCGUCGUACCAGUGUGGUUUUAGAUAAUUUCUUAUCUCAUGACAUCGUGAACGUGCCGCAUAUCACAUUGCCUCGGAAACCAAAAGUUUAUGAACGAUUUAGCUGGGUAAAGGCUUAGUAGUAUGCAACGCAGAUGAAAACUUGUAGUAACACGGGGAAGUUAAAAGAAGUUCAGGUAGAGCAGAAAAAAAACAGCUUUUCUGAGAUUUAUAGUAACACGCCUGUGAACAUGAUACAACCUUUCGGGAGUUCUUCGGUUUAUCAGCAUUACCAAGACAGUAAAUAUGCCCAGAAGGACAAUAUACCACGCUUAAACCAAUUUAAAAAGGGGAGUUAUAUUUGUGUGAAAGGUCCUGUAGUAAUACUAUGGGUCUUGUGUGUGGUAUCUGUAACUCUUUCAGGCUUCUGCGGCCUCAAACUGUUUCAGUUGCAAGAAAGACUUUCAUCACUGGAAAUCAGGUAUAGACAACUGGAGAUAAAACACAUUCUUAAAAAAGUAGACAGUAAGGUGGAAAAGCGCAUGGAGCAACUCAUGUCAGUUACCAGCCGUAUGAAAAGAGGCACAGAGUUAUUUUCAAAAGCUUCGGAGUGGAUAAGCCCAGACAAGGAGCACUAUAUGGUAAAUUCAAAGCGGAAAGGUGUGAAAAUGGUUGCAGCUGAGUGUAUUUGUCCCGUUGGUGAGCCUGGGCCCAAAGGUGAAAAAGGUCGAAGAGGUCGACGAGGCAAACAUGGAAAACCAGGGCCAAUAGGACCAGCAGGUCCUAUGGGAUCUGUUGGACCUCCUGGAAAACCUGGAUUUCCGGGUGCAAUUGGAAUAGAGGGACCAAAGGGUGAAAAAGGUAUUAAAGGUGAAAAAGGAAAUAAGGGAAGUAGUGGACUUGAUGUACAAGUAACAUCGAAAAUGAAAGGCUUGACUGGAGACCAUUCUGAUAUCAUGAUUAACCAGGAUGUUCUAUUAAUAAAGGGUGAGCCAGGUGAGCCUGGGCCAGCUGGUCCACCAGGACCUCCGGGCCCAACUGGUCUGCCUGGUUUUGAUGGCCAGAUUGGAAUGCCUGGUGAACAAGGACCAAUGGGUGAACCAGGACCCUCUGGCCCCCCUGGACCUGUGGGGCCAGUGGGCAAAGAUGGUCUUCAGGGUCCUAAGGGAGUAAAGGGUGACAAAGGUGAACAAGGCUUGACCACAAUGUUGGAUGGUAAUAAACUUCCCACUGGGUUUAUAGAAGGUCCACCAGGACCUCCUGGACCACCUGGACCUGCUGGGCCACAGGGAAGGAAGGGAGACUCUGGAAUUCCAGGACCACAGGGUAAUCAUGGGGAAAAAGGAGAUAAAGGUGAAAGAGGCAGAAGAGGAAAAAGGGGAAAAUAUCGUUUCUGGUGUUUACAUAAACUUCCUUAACCAGCAAACCAGCUCAGAUAAACCAUUAACUACUAACCCAGACUAACUCCUUAAAUAUCAAGUAAACAAGGUGGACAUGGAAAAUUUGAAGACGUGGAAAACGGGUUGUAGCUGGACCUAAAGGGGACAAUGGAUCACAGGCAGAAAAAGGGGAGAAAGGGAAUAUUGGAUUUCCUGGUCUUCAAGGUCCCAGAGGGUUGCAAGGCACCCGUGCGAUUUCGGGAGUUGAUGGAAUUAGGGACAAAUUGUAGGAAAAUGAAAAGGUUUUUCCUAAUGGGACUGACACCUGGGAAACUUGGAACAAUCUUCUAUCCAGAUCUCAUAAUAGAAGCAAUAGUUGGGAACUUUUAUCUAUUAAUCUUAUGAAAAGUAGCAACUUCUUAUAACAAUAAUAUUAUCAUAAAGAUUAUUAUUCUCUAUAUUUGCGAAACAAAUUAAGUUGGUGGUGGGAACAACUUUCACUAAAUAGAAACAAUGUUUUGUUUUUUCAUUACACAACAUUUUUUCACCUGUCUUCUUGUCAUACACUUUAUUUUGUCAGUAAGCAUCACCUGCUACUUACAUAACUUGGUUUCUGUCAUAUUAUCACGCAUGCAUUUACCUGCUUGUGAAUGUUUCUUCUUUGUCAGCUCUUUGUGUUAUAUGAGUUUCAGUGUAGGAUUUCAGUAACUUCUGUUA
Molecule: unclassified non-coding RNA, 2121 nt
Filed under: Limulus polyphemus (Atlantic horseshoe crab)
Lineage: Eukaryota; Metazoa; Arthropoda; Merostomata; Xiphosura; Limulidae
Description: collagen alpha chain CG42342-like, transcript variant X6
Source: RNAcentral